Molecule: microRNA precursor, 62 nt
Filed under: Podarcis lilfordi (Lilford's wall lizard)
Lineage: Eukaryota; Metazoa; Chordata; Lepidosauria; Squamata; Lacertidae
Source: RNAcentral
GUGUGUGUACAUAUAUAUGUGUGUACAUAUAUAUGUGUGUACAUAUAUAUAUGUACACACAC